Molecule: long non-coding RNA, 537 nt
Organism: Amphiprion ocellaris (clown anemonefish)
Lineage: Eukaryota; Metazoa; Chordata; Actinopteri; Pomacentridae
Exons: 3
Source: RefSeq, a predicted model, not a curated record
CUUUACUAGACACAGCUGUUGAUGUUCAACCCCAGGCUGUGGCAAGGAGGGAUUUCAAGAACCUGCACAGAUGCUGCUCGGCCUGACGAUGCCGCAGCCAGGUGGUGACCCUGCAUGCAGUACCUGGCACAGCAGAGUGCGCAGCGCUGCAGCCAAAUCCCAGAGUCAGAGAGCUGCCGAAGCUGGCCAAUCUGUCGCCAGGGAGAAUGAACACUGUCACUGAUGCAAACACUGAGGCAGAGGGGCAAACAGCAAAUCUUUAAUGAAUCAGAAGGAGGGACUGGAUCAAGACUGCCAGGGUGUGCACCUCCUGCUUAAGGUUUAUAAUCCUCAUUUUAUCUAUUAAACGGUGACUUGAAAUUUAAAGAUCCAUAUUUAGGUCAAAAAUGAUUUACUUUGUGUUGUAAUCAAUGUCAUAAAUCACCAAACCUCAAACAUCGACAAUUUUAGACAUUAAAAACUGCAGCCCUGGGACCUUACACUAAAAUAUUGUUUAUCACUUGUACGACAGGAGAAAAUUAAAUUAUAUUUUCAUUA